This 360-nucleotide ribosomal RNA is filed under the name uncultured bacterium. RNAcentral's name for it is "partial 16S ribosomal RNA". It matches the Rfam family "Bacterial small subunit ribosomal RNA", at positions 338 to 696 of the family's 1533-position model. The record is from RNAcentral.
CCUACGGGAGGCAGCAGUGAGGAAUAUUGGUCAAUGGGCGCGAGCCUGAACCAGCCAAGUCGCGUGAGGGAAGACGGUCCUAUGGAUUGUAAACCUCUUUUGUCGGGGAGCAAAAGACGCCACGUGUGGCGUUCCGAGAGUACCCGAAGAAAAAGCAUCGGCUAACUCCGUGCUAGCAGCCGCGGUAAUACGGAGGAUGCGAGCGGUAUCCGGAUUUAUUGGGUUUAAAGGGUGCGCAGGCGGAAGAUCAAGUCAGCGGUAAAAUUGAGGGGCUCAACCUCUUCGAGCCGUUGAAACUGGUUAUCUAGAGUGAGCGAGAAGUAUGCGGAAUGCGAGGUGUAGCGGUGAAAUGCAUAGAUA